This is a non-coding RNA of Doryrhamphus excisus (bluestripe pipefish), 3021 nucleotides long. NCBI's taxonomy places the organism in Eukaryota, Metazoa, Chordata, Actinopteri, Syngnathiformes, Syngnathidae. The record is from RefSeq and is a predicted model, not a curated record.
CUUGUCACGUGACCGACUACAGCAUCCUUUUUGGUCCAUUUUGGAGGAAAGCGAGAUCACUCCAAGUCGCACACGAUCAUGACCAAACUGCAGUUUUUAAACGUCUUCCUGACCGAGCGGCUCAUGCUCGCCGCACAGGAGAUCUACAAGUCCGUGGAGGACACCAUUUUGGAGUACCAGGAGGAGAUAGCCAUCAGGGAGCGAGAGAACGACCAUCUGAGACGCAGGCUGCGAGAUGCUGGGAUUGAAAUAUGGCCAGACCGCCCAUCAAUGGCAUUGACUCUGGAAGAGGACGAUGCCGAGCAUCCGCGUCGUGAGUGGAGUCCCAGCAUGGGGCACGCGGAACGUAUUCCGAUCCACAUCAAGGAUAAGCGAGAUCUCCGUGCCAACCAAGGAGACGACGAACUCCGCGGUCACGGCUCCUGCAGCACUUCGGAAAACAUGUUCUCCCCCCAGCGCGUCGUAAACGAGUACGUGCAGGACGGUCCUCACACGUCCAACCUCCCUCUGUGUCAAGGAGUCGAGAACCGGGAGCGGGAUCCCAACUCCCGCAGCUCCUCGAGGCACGUGAAGGCGGAGAGCGGAGGUGCGCACAGGGGUCCCGCUUCCUCCAGCAACGCCGCGCAGCCCCUCGCGCCGGUCAACCCAAAUUGCUCAAAUGAGAACAACAUUGAUAUCAUCGGGGUGGAGAAUGUGGGGCAGAUGGUCGGCGCGAAGGGAAACGGACCCGUGGCAAACCGAGGACCGUCGUCUCACAUGCGCAGCCAAGCGGCCAACACCGUAGACUGCCCCCAUCAGAAAUCCCCCCUCCAAGGCCAGAUAUCGUCCUUCGGCUGCAAGGUAUGCGGCGAAGCCUUCAGCCACGUCGGCCACUUACACGUGCACGUGCAGGUGCACACGCGGGAGAAACCGUACCGCUGCGGCGUGUGCGGGAAGUGCUGCAGCUCCUCCGGCCGACUCCAGGAGCACCAGCGCAGCCACACGGGGGAGAAGCCGUUCCGUUGCCAGAUCUGCGGGAAGGGCUUCACCCAGAUGGCGCACCUCAAAGUACACAUGAGGAUCCACACGGGCGAGAAGCCGUACAGUUGCCCCGUUUGUGGGAAGUGCUUCAGCCGCUCGGAUAAAAUCAAAAGGCAUCUCCAGACACAUACGCGGGAGGGGACAUAUUUCUCGGGGCAAUGAUGCACAAGUUUCUUUGGCAUCAAAACAAUUUUUUUUUUUUAAAUAUGAACAUUUUUUUCUACUCUUCUAAAACUUGGAACGUUUUUACAUCAAAUAAUACUUCUGUGUCACAGUUUUUGUCAUGUAUUUUCUAUUCUCAUCCCUGUAGUAACACAACUAGCAUUACGAUUAAGUGUUCCACAGGGAAUUGAUAUUUUUACAAUUUUUGGUGCAAAAAUGGACAUACAGUAAUACAGUAAACCUCGGAUAUAUCGGAUUCAAUUGUUCCCACUGGUUUUGUCCGAUAUAAGCGAAAUCCGUUAUAUGCGUAUACCGGAAAAUGUCCGUUUUACGGAUUUUAUCUGUUAUAAAAAGGCACUUCCUUGACUAUGUUUCCAAUGUACGUGGACGCGCAGGCAACGCUGCAAACGCUGCAAAUGACGUCGUAUAGCGGCCUGUCACGAUUCGGCGAAUCGGAGUGCCACGAUGCGGCCAUCCGAUAUAUGCGAGGGAAAUUUAAUGGGAAUGCAUUGGAACGGGACUGGAGAUUUUGUCUGAAAUGGGCGAAAUCCGUUAUAAAAAAUCCGAUAUAUGCAAUGAAUUUUUAUUGGAAAUGCAUUACAGAAAAAUCGGUUCUUUUUUAUCUGUCCGUUGUGAGCGAAUUUCCGAUAUAUCCGAGUCCGAUAUAUCCGAGGUUUACUGUACCAUGAUCGCUCUUUCAUAGGUAGCUGGAAUUACCGGCUGCCCUCAACAUUUGGUUGUUUAUCGGCAAGAUUUGAAUGUGGAAUUGUGGGAAAGAACAUUUAUGUCAUUUUUCAACAUUAUCCUUCAUCUCUAAGGUACAAAUUCAUGAAUUUUACUGGUAAAAAUACCUGAAUUAUGAACAAGGUGAUCACUCGGCUUAAGAAGAAACAAAUUCCCACAGAAAAUAAUGACCCAGGGCUGGGGGUGGAGUCACAAUUAGGCAAACACAGGCAACUCCCUGGGGGCCCCAGGAUUCCCCCAAACGUCUUAAAACUGCUUAUUGAUUUUUUUUUUCUUCAAUUUAAAGUUUGUACUACUGUUUGAGUCUUGAGUAAACUUUUUGUUUCGACCGCUGCCCCUCCCUUCUCAUGCAAUGGACUAUUCCAUGUUAUGCAAAUGCUAAUUUGUUGGCGCGCCACGCAAGUGGAGCGAUAAUAAUUAUUAUUAUUAUUCUUUCUCUUUUCGCCAAAUUGUGUGUUGUGUAUGUCCGGUGCCCCCUUUUUGUUUUCAGUAUGUUUAUAUUGCUGUUAAUGUUUUGUUUUGUUUUUUAAAUUAAUAAGUAAAUAAAAAUAAAGUAUUUAAAAAAAAGAAAAAAAGCAAGUAAACAGAGUAAAAGACACAUUAAAAUACAACAACGUACACAUACGCACUCACCUCUUCCUCGGAGUGUACAAGUCUCGAGGUGACCCCGGUGGUGUAGAUGCUCCCACUUGCAUCCUCGUGAAUUUUUAUAUUGGAUUUCCUGCUUCGACAGUCUGGGUCUCUGGCACCGUCGAACAAGUCCAGAAUCUCCUCAUUGUAAAGCUGCAAUAGGACAGAGACGAAUACAGUAAAGUCUCAUUAUAUCGAUAUUGGUUAUAACGAAUUACUGCUUAUUACGAUACUAUUUUCAUUUCCCGGCAAAUUUCUAGUCUUUUAUGAUAUAAUUAGUUCCGUUAGUACGAUACCCGGUUAUUAUGAUAAUCCGGUUACUACGAUGCCCUUUUCAUCUCCCGCCAGCCAAUUUGGUCUGCUUAUAUCGAUACAAAAGCAGCUUAAAUCAAUCUUUGCUUAAGGAUUUCAAUACCAAAAAAGAACACGGCGAACGGCUGCUUCCAGUCAACUUUAUUUUUCACA